Molecule: long non-coding RNA, 866 nt
Filed under: Citrus x clementina
Lineage: Eukaryota; Viridiplantae; Streptophyta; Magnoliopsida; Sapindales; Rutaceae
Description: Citrus clementina (C. clementina) long non-coding RNA (CCLE_LNC000619)
Source: RNAcentral
AAGGUUUUAAAGACAUUGAAGUCCCCUUAGGAUGGAUCGCCGAAAUAUAAAUUAUUGUCCUUGCAUUCCAUUAAUAUAUAACAAAAAUAGGCUUUAUUUAUUUUAAGAACUGAUCUUUGAACUACUUGCGUUUUGUUCAGUGUGGCGAAAGUGGUUACAAGAGAUCCAUAUUCUGCUUUCGAAAUUUAUGAACCUAGUGGCUCUUCAAUUUCCGGGAAGUCUCAAAGAGAUUCAUCUUCUGCUCUCGAAAUUUAUGAACCUAGUGGCUCUUCAAUUUCCAGGAAGUUUCAAAGAGAUUCAUCUUCUGCUCUUGAAAUUGAUGAACCUAGUGGCUCUUCAAUUUCUGGGAAGUCUCAGAGAGAUCCAUCUUCUGCUCUCGAAAUUGAUGAACCUAGUGGCUCUUCAAUUUCCGCGAAGUCUCAAAGAGAUCCGUCUUCUGCUCUCGAAAUUUAUGAACCUAGUGGCUCUUCAUUUUCCGAGAAGUCUCAAAGAGAUCCAUCUUUUGGUCUCAAAAUGGAUGAACCUAGUGGCUCUUCAAUUUCCGGGAAGUCUCAAAGAGAUCCAUCUUCUGCUCUCGAAAUUAAUGAACCUAGUGGCUCUUCAAUUUCCAAGAAGUCUCAAAGAGAUCCAUCUUCUGCUCUCAAAAUUUAUGAACCUAGUGGCGCUUCAAUUUCCGGGAAGUCUAAAAGAGAUCCAUCUUCUGCUCUCGAAAUUUAUGAACCUAGUGGCUUUACAGAGUUGACAACAUCCAAUGUCAAAAGAUUACUCUACAAAAUGAAAAAUAUUUUCCUACGGUGGCCGUACUUUGAUUGGAUGCAAAUGAUAUUGGUUGUGACUGUAAUAUCAGUCGAUCCUUUGUUUUUCUA